This 78-nucleotide transfer RNA is filed under the name Edaphobacter sp. Its description in RNAcentral is "tRNA-Glu". It matches the Rfam family "tRNA". From Rfam's summary of the family: Transfer RNA (tRNA) molecules are approximately 80 nucleotides in length. RNAcentral also lists the same sequence under 6 other names. Lineage: Bacteria; Pseudomonadati; Acidobacteriota; Terriglobia; Terriglobales; Acidobacteriaceae. The record is from RNAcentral.
GUCCCCGUCGUCUAGCCCGGCCCAGGACACCGCCCUUUCACGGCGAUAACAUGGGUUCGAAUCCCAUCGGGGACACCA